GAUGAACGCUGGCGGCGUGCCUAAUACAUGCAAGUCGAGCGAACAGACGAGGAGCUUGCUCCUCUGACGUUAGCGGCGGACGGGUGAGUAACACGUGGAUAACCUACCUAUAAGACUGGGAUAACUUCGGGAAACCGGAGCUAAUACCGGAUAAUAUAUUGAACCGCAUGGUUCAAUAGUGAAAGACGGUUUUGCUGUCACUUAUAGAUGGAUCCGCGCCGCAUUAGCUAGUUGGUAAGGUAACGGCUUACCAAGGCAACGAUGCGUAGCCGACCUGAGAGGGUGAUCGGCCACACUGGAACUGAGACACGGUCCAGACUCCUACGGGAGGCAGAAGUAGGGAAGCUUCCGCAAUGGGCGAAAGCCUGACGGAGCAACGCCGCGUGAGUGAUGAAGGUCUUCGGAUCGUAAAACGCUGUUAUUAGGGAAGAACAAAUGUGUAAGUAACUAUGCACGUCUUGACGGUACCUAAUCAGAAAACCACGGCUAACUACGU
RNAcentral lists this ribosomal RNA (496 nucleotides) under uncultured bacterium. Its description in RNAcentral is "partial 16S ribosomal RNA". It matches the Rfam family "Bacterial small subunit ribosomal RNA", at positions 28 to 506 of the family's 1533-position model. The record is from RNAcentral.